CCUACGGGAGGCUGCAGUGGGGAAUAUUGCACAAUGGGGGAAACCCUGAUGCAGCGACGCCGCGUGAGUGAAGAAGUAUCUCGGUAUGUAAAGCUCUAUCAGCAGGGAAGAAAAUGACGGUACCUGACUAAGAAUCCCCGGCUAACUACGUGCCAGCAGCCGCGGUAAUACGUAGGGGGCACGCGUUAUCCGGAUUUACUGGGUGUAAAGGGAGCGUAGACGGCGCGGCAAGUCCGGAGUGAAAGCCCAUGGCUUAACCAUGGUACUGCUCUGGAAACUGUGGAGCUUGAGUGCGGGAGGGGCAGGCGGAAUUCCUGGUGUAGGGGUGAAAUGCGUAGAUAUGAGGAGGAACACCAGUGGCGAAGGCGGUCUGCUGGACAGCAACUGACGCUGAGGCGCGAAAGCGUGGGGAGCAAACAGGAUUAGAUACCCUUGUAGUC
Molecule: ribosomal RNA, 440 nt
Filed under: uncultured bacterium
Lineage: Bacteria
Description: partial 16S ribosomal RNA
Rfam family: Bacterial small subunit ribosomal RNA
Source: RNAcentral